GGGCGGGGCAGCUGCUGCCUGUGAGUGCUGUUGGAGAAACGGAGCCAGUCAUACUAAGGAGAGCUUAAGUUUGACCAGUUCUUACCCUCCCCGACUAAAUCGGUUUCAGUUAUGUACUGAAAUAUAAGAAUGGACAUUAGAGGGUUCUUUCAAAGAAAAAACUCAGCACAAAGAGGGAGAGAGAGGGUGAGAGAGGGAGAUGGAGAGGCAAAUGAGGACAGAAGAGAAAUGGAACAAGAACCAGAGGUCAGGGGAAAUCAGGAAAGCAAGAGAAAACCAAAACACAACAGCAUCACAGCAGGAAGCAGCAGGUGGAUCGCUAAGGACAGCUGAAGGAGGUUUACUGGAAGGAGCAGCAGAAGAUGAUUUAGGAACUCUAGAAAGUGGUCCAAGACAAAAUGUCCUCCCACAAUAUCCGCUGAGCCAGUUUGGAGGCCAGCAGAGGGCGUUCAAUAAGAGUUGAUUUGAACAGUUUACAUGGCUGGAGUAUUCUGUUGUGAGGAACUUGGCUUUCUGUUUUUCAUGUCGCAUAUUUGGGAAGCAGAAUACUUUAAAAAAAAAGAUGGCCUCAGUCAUUCAGGGUUCUGCAAUUGGAAGAGGGCUUUAAAUGCCUUUAGGGAGCACGAAAAGAGUUCCAGCCAUUCGUCUUCUAUGAUAUGCUGGCACAGCCUUAAGACCACAAAAAACCAAGGUGACGUUUUUGAGCAACUUAGAUAAGCAAGCCCAGCAGAAAUUUCAGAGAGACGACAGUAUCUCCACAGGAUCUUAGCUGUAACAAGUUUCCUUGGAAAACAAGGAAUACCAUUCCGUGGCCACGAUGAGCAGAAAUCCACCAGUCAUAAUCAAGGGAACUUCCUUGAGUGCAUGAAGCUGCUGAAAAC
Oreochromis niloticus (Nile tilapia) is the source of this 881-nucleotide long non-coding RNA. RefSeq lists it as uncharacterized. NCBI's taxonomy places the organism in Eukaryota, Metazoa, Chordata, Actinopteri, Cichliformes, Cichlidae. The transcript has 4 exons. The record is from RefSeq and is a predicted model, not a curated record.